Molecule: ribosomal RNA, 464 nt
Filed under: uncultured bacterium
Lineage: Bacteria
Description: partial 16S ribosomal RNA
Rfam family: Bacterial small subunit ribosomal RNA
Source: RNAcentral
CCUACGGGAGGCUGCAGUAGGGAAUCUUCCACAAUGGGGGCAACCCUGAUCGAGCAAUACCGCGUGAGUGAAGAAGGCUUUCGGCUCGUAAAGCUCUGUUGUUCGAGAAAAACGUGCGUGAUAGGAACUGAUCACUCAGUGACGGUAUCCUACGAGAAAGUCACGGCUAACUACGUGCCAGCAGCCGCGGUAAUACGUAGGUGGCAAGCGUUAUCCGGAUUGAUUGGGCGUAAAGGGUGCGCAGGCGGUGCCUUAGGUCUGAUGUAAAAGCCAUCGACUAAACCGAAGAAGGCAUUGGAAACCGGGCGACUGGAGUGCAGAAGAGGACAGUGGAAUUCCAUGUGUAGCGGUAGAAUGCGUAGAUAUAUGGAAGAACACCAGUGGCGAAGGCGGCUGUCUGGUCUGCAACUGACGCUGAGGCUCGAAAGCAUGGGUAGCGAAUAGGAUUAGAUACCCUAGUAGUC